Molecule: ribosomal RNA, 334 nt
Filed under: uncultured Bacteroidota bacterium
Lineage: Bacteria; Pseudomonadati; Bacteroidota
Description: bacterial SSU rRNA
Rfam family: Bacterial small subunit ribosomal RNA
Source: RNAcentral
AGAUCUAGAGUUUGAUCCUGGCUCAGGAUGAACGCUAGCGAUAGGCUUAACACAUGCAAGUCGAGGGGCAUCACAAGGAGCAAUCUGAGGUGGCGACCGGCGCACGGGUGAGUAACACGUAUGCAACCUACCCAUAACACUGGGAUAGCCCGGCGAAAGUCAGAUUAAUACCGGAUGACACAGGGGCCCUGCCUGGGGCUAUUUGUUAAAGAGAUUCGGUUAUGGAUGGGCAUGCGUUCCAUUAGGUAGUUGGUGAAGGUAACGGCUCACCAAGCCAUCGAUGGAUAGGGGAACUGAGAGGUUUGUCCCCCACACUGGUACUGAGACACGGACC